AACGGUCUAUACCUGCGGUACCUGCGGAAGGAUCAUUAUUAAAAGCAAAUGAGUGCACUUUAUUGUGACUCGACCCUUUUAAUUAAACCCUUCAAAAAGAAAGAGCAUUUUUUAAUUCUCUUUCUUUUCCACUUUAAAUUAUUUUUCUAUAAACACAAGUUGUUGAUUUGGAAUGAAAACAAAUAAUAUAUAUAACUUUCAACAACGGAUCUCU
This 214-nucleotide unclassified non-coding RNA is filed under the name soil metagenome. RNAcentral describes it as "partial contains 5.8S ribosomal RNA, internal transcribed spacer 2, and large subunit ribosomal RNA". The record is from RNAcentral.